ACCCCGGCUGUAACGCAAUGGAUAGCGCGUUGGACUUCUCAUCCAAAAGUCGUGGGCUCGAAUACCACCUGGGAUG
This is a non-coding RNA of Trichonephila clavipes, 76 nucleotides long. NCBI's taxonomy places the organism in Eukaryota, Metazoa, Arthropoda, Arachnida, Araneae, Nephilidae. The record is from the annotation of a GenBank genome assembly.